UACAGAGGGUGCAAGCGUUGUUCGGAAUUACUGGGCGUAAAGCGAGUGUAGGCGGUCUACUAAGUCGGGUGUGAAAGCCCUGGGCUCAACCCAGGAAGUGCACUCGAAACUGGUGGGCUAGAGUAUCGGAGAGGUUGGUGGAAUUCACGGUGUAGCAGUGAAAUGCGUAGAUAUCGUGAGGAAGACCAGUGGCGAAGGCGGGUCUCUGGACAGUUCCUGACACUGAGGCACGAAGGCCAGGGGAGCAAACGGG
RNAcentral lists this ribosomal RNA (253 nucleotides) under uncultured bacterium. RNAcentral's name for it is "partial 16S ribosomal RNA". It matches the Rfam family "Bacterial small subunit ribosomal RNA", at positions 524 to 776 of the family's 1533-position model. The record is from RNAcentral.